AUUGAACGCUGGAGGCAUGCCUUACACAUGCAAGUCGAACGGUAACAGGUCUUCGGAUGCUGACGAGUGGCGAACGGGUGAGUAAUACAUCGGAACGUGCCUAGUAGUGGGGGAUAACUACUCGAAAGAGUGGCUAAUACCGCAUGAGAUCUACGGAUGAAAGCAGGGGAUCGCAAGACCUUGUGCUACUAGAGCGGCCGAUGGCAGAUUAGGUAGUUGGUGGGAUAAAAGCUUACCAAGCCGACGAUCUGUAGCUGGUCUGAGAGGACGAUUAGCCACACUGGGACUGAGACACGGCCCAGACUCCUACGGGAGGCAGCAGAGGGGAAUUUUGGACAAUGGGCGAAAGCCUGAUCCAGCAAUGCCGCGUGCAGGAUGAAGGCCUUCGGGUUGUAAACUGCUUUUGUACGGAACGAAAAGCUCCGGGUUAAUACCCUGGGGUCAUGACGGUACCGUAAGAAUAAGCACCGGCUAACUACGUGCCAGCCGCCGCCGUAA
RNAcentral lists this ribosomal RNA (498 nucleotides) under uncultured bacterium. Its description in RNAcentral is "partial 16S ribosomal RNA". It matches the Rfam family "Bacterial small subunit ribosomal RNA", at positions 30 to 523 of the family's 1533-position model. The record is from RNAcentral.